RNAcentral lists this ribosomal RNA (468 nucleotides) under uncultured bacterium. RNAcentral's name for it is "partial 16S ribosomal RNA". It matches the Rfam family "Bacterial small subunit ribosomal RNA", at positions 28 to 507 of the family's 1533-position model. The record is from RNAcentral.
GACGAACGCUGGCGGCGUGCUUAACACAUGCAAGUCGAACGGGAAGGCCCUGCUUUUGUGGGGUGCUCGAGUGGCGAACGGGUGAGUAACACGUGAGUAACCUGCCCUUGACUUUGGGAUAACUUCAGGAAACUGGGGCUAAUACCGGAUAGGAGCUCCUGCUGCAUGGGGGGGGUUGGAAAGUUUCGGCGGUUGGGGAUGGACUCGCGGCUUAUCAGCUUGUUGGUGGGGUAGUGGCUUACCAAGGCUUUGACGGGUAGCCGGCCUGAGAGGGUGACCGGCCACAUUGGGACUGAGAUACGGCCCAGACUCCUACGGGAGGCAGCAGUGGGGAAUAUUGCACAAUGGGCGGAAGCCUGAUGCAGCAACGCCGCGUGCGGGAUGACGGCCUUCGGGUUGUAAACCGCUUUCGCCUGUGACGAAGCGUGAGUGACGGUAAUGGGUAAAGAAGCACCGGCUAACUACGUG